This 1785-nucleotide long non-coding RNA is filed under the name Anas platyrhynchos platyrhynchos (common mallard). Its description in RNAcentral is "lncRNA (ENSAPLG00000021008.1)". Lineage: Eukaryota; Metazoa; Chordata; Aves; Anseriformes; Anatidae. The record is from RNAcentral.
AAAUGUAAUUGUAAUGCAAGCUGAAGAAGAUAGCCUUAUACAUGAAGGUGGUAUUUCUGCAUUGUGAUGCUAUCUAACUGCUUUGUUUGAUUUAAUUAAUUUUUGUAAAGGAUGUUUUCUUUUACAGCUUAGACCACUUUUUGAAGCUCAGCUGGGACUGCUUCCCAGUGAUGUGUUACAAAAUUGAUGCACCCCCUGUGUGGGGCCCACACAGAAUCCCACUCAGGGCUUUCUUGCCUGACCCCAAGGGCUACACUUAAAUUCUCAACAUCCCUGAAACCCAGAGUACAUGCCUUGCUUCUCUGAAUUCACAUUCACUUACCAGGACACUGAGCCAGCAAAUCAGAUGCACACAGCUCGCCUGUCUGUGCUGCCUUCAAGCUCUGCCUUCCUGCAACAUGUGCUCUUCUCUCCAAGGUCAGAGCAGGAUCUCAACUGCAGCCCAAUGAAACCAAUGGAUAAUUACUUGCAUUUGCUGAUGGGUUUUCACUAUGUCUGAGGGAAUACUUUGCAAAUGAAGCUUGUACCAUUCUGGACAAAGCUGGGACAAUGUAUGGUUCUGGGAUGCCAAAAGAAUGUUUUAUCCUUCAUUGGAAAUAGACACUGUAUUUAUAAAGGAGAACUAACAGGUUGAUAAGGAUUUUGCUUAGAAAGUGAUGAAGUAUUUGAGAGAGGUGUGCAUAUUUCAGCAGAUCUUGAUUUAAAGCAGAUCAAAAUCUUUGGCUGAGCAGCCCAGCACCUAACCACACACAAGCUGAGGAAGCUGCAUGCCGCAUGGGUACUGUGUGUGUUAGCAUUCCAGCUCCUGCUCCCAGACAAAAGCAGCCUUCAUUUAAACUGAGAGGUAUUGAGUAACAAGCCUCUGCAUAGCACAACAAACUGAACACAACUGUCUCAAGUGAGACUCUAUUAAAGCAUGGGAAAUUUGCCACCUCCCCAGGAUUUAUCAUUUUAAUUGGAACAAGACAGAUUCCAUCAAUGAUGACUGAACAGAGCAUCAAGAAGUAUUUUUUCUUUAGCAGCUGUUAUUAUGCAGGAGAGACAGAGAGCUGAAGUAGGGGCAGAAACCCUUUUCAGUGUAAACAGAUAGCCAUCUAAUCUGCAGAAGACGGGCAGGAGAAGAAGGGAAACAGGAUCUUUCAGAUAUAAUUAAUACUGAAAAAGCAAAAUAAUGUCUUUUCCAAAGACCUUAUAUGGCCACAUCAAGCUUUGGUUACCUUUUACAAAUCUUUCUGUUAGUACUUCAGUAACUUCCAAUUCUUGUUGGCAUAUUUGAACAAGAGUCUUCAAAGAUUCAUUCUUCGACCUUCCCAGGUGCUGCUCUUUUAGAGUUUCUUUUUAUAAGCAGUAAGUUAAGUAGGGAUCAAAGAGGACCACCAUCAAGAAGGAAAAAACAGUAUGCCUUGUUAUAUAUAUGGUAUUUUCAUGUUGCUAAAUUAAAGUAAUUCAAUAUUUCACCCUCAAGAUUGAUAUAAGAGACCACAACAAUUAAGUUUAAGGUUAUAAUUUUAAUCAUAGAUGAAGCUUAAUGGCCUUUUUUUUCCAAUGUCUCAUAGUCUUUGUGGAAAUUAUAUUAUUGAGCAGAGCAACACAGUACUUAAAGCAGGUUAACUUUUAAUGCAAACCUGUUUUCUGCUGUCCAAAAGAUCUCUAAUAACCCACUGCUUACUAAACUGAAAAUCACUAUUCCAUUCUCUGAAUACAUACUGAUUUCAGAGCAGACAAUAUAAGAUUAAGGACCUAGCCAUCAGAGUGCAAUAAACAAAACAAAACAUGUCUGGAACA